UCAGUGCCUGUGGUACCAAAAGAAAGGAGCCAGUAUUGUUUAUGAAAUGGCUGUGAAACAGAUAUUUGAUUCCUUUUUUUUCCCUCCAAAUCUGUUAUAAGCAACGGAAGCAAAGGAAAGAGAAAUUAAAAAAAGAAGGGCAGUCACUUCAAUGGUGUGAAACAGAACAGAAGGAAAAGAGAGAGAAAUAGAAGGAAAGAGCUGAAAGAGAGAAGAAGAAAGGUAGAGAAAAGGAAAGAAGGAGAAAAAACCUCAGCUGUCCAGCCAUAUACCGAGAAUGUGAAUGGAUCCUAAUUUGGAGGAAGUUGUUUUUACUUUUUUACCUUCAAUAAUAAUGUUUCUAUUUUGUUAAGCUGUGGUCUCUAUUUUUACUGUAGUGUAAGCCCAAUAUUCACCUGAGAUGUUCUUUCCCAGAGUUAUACUGUUUAGAUUUCUAUCAGAACCUCCAGGUCACCAAGGCAGGAGCAUGGCUGAUGGGUGGAGGAUGUCUACACUGGGGAUCUGAACCCACGAACCCAGGCUGCCAAGUGGAGCACACAAACUUAACCACUAAGCCACGGAUGGGCGGGCAGCCCCUCUCCAUCUUGCUCUACUCCCGGGGCCUGGACCAGAAGGAGCAAGAUAGCCGCGCUGCACUGGGCCUCCCUUAAGGAGAGAGGUACGUCAUGUCCCACAGGGGUGCUGAAAAACACGGCUUUUGCUGGACACUCCAGGGAGAACAAGAUGACUUAUGUCAAAGCAACAGGCCCCAGUGAAGACCUGCAGCCUCGGUGGCAGGUGGGUCAGAGGGUCGUCUUCAGCUCCCGCCACGUCCCCACCGUGGGCACUUGCUCUAGAAGCAGCCUGUGGAUCCUGAACACAAUUCUUCCUUUGAUUCUUUUGAUGACAGAGCAACAGCAAAAUGCUGUGGCAAUCAAAACUGCCUGAAAACAGCGUAUUAACUGUUCAGAUCUGUAAUUGAGUUAAUCACGGAACUGCUGGCACGUGCUCUCCACCGUUCUUCAUAGAUAAGUUCUUGACACUGCGUCCCUGAGACUUCACUCCUUCUCACCUCGAGCCCCUCUCUCGGACAGGACUCGGGAUUCACAGGAGUGACUUCCAUGUGGGAUGAGGGUAGGAAGGAAGACAGGGCAGACAUUUAUAAACACCUGCUCAUUUAAUUUUGCCAAGACCCUGCCAGACACAUCCCAGUGUCAUCACUCCGCAAAUGAAACUGAUGCUCAGAGAAGUUCAGCGGCUUUCCUAUGGUCACUCAGUUAAGGCAAGGUGGAGUUAGGAGUGGAACCCAUGGCUAAUCUUGAUAGACUUCACGCUCUUUCCCCCUCUUCACCCUCCUGCCCUCAUGUUUCCUCCCAUAGUGCAACGGGACCAAUACUCUGUACAAGAGGAAUGUGUUCUCUGUCGACAGCUUGCUUGAUUUCUAAGAGCUGGGUCUUGGCCUUCCUUUUCUAAGCUCCAAUCAUCGGAAACUAAUGCUGAACAAAUCUUCUGAGGCUGCCUCAUGCAAUCCCUUUAACUUGUGAUGAGAAAACUGAAGUGCAGUGAUUAAGCUACUGUGCCCCUAGCGAGCCGUGGAGACAGGGCGGGGAGCAGGACCAGCGCCGACACCCCUGCAGUGUGUUGUACCUCACAGAGCCACCAAGACUGUGCAAUGAGAAGCCUAUGUCCUAGACGUGGGGAGCCAAUUCUCUCAAGACACCAACUUUUCUGGGGACACACAGCUGCUCUGACGGUGGGCUUGUGCAUGCGCUAUGACAGACCAAGUCAUCUGCUUUCCUCGCCUGGAGCCCUCUCUCCUCCAACGUGUCCAGCUGGCUUAGAAACGAAACACGACCAUCAUUUCUCUCGGCAUGGGCAGCUUGUCCCCAUGUUGGAAACGCAAGGAAGAGAACAGCAUC
Molecule: long non-coding RNA, 1898 nt
Filed under: Equus caballus (horse)
Lineage: Eukaryota; Metazoa; Chordata; Mammalia; Perissodactyla; Equidae
Description: lncRNA (ENSECAG00000057570.1)
Source: RNAcentral